This 430-nucleotide ribosomal RNA is filed under the name Pseudomonadota bacterium. RNAcentral's name for it is "Proteobacteria bacterium partial 16S ribosomal RNA". It matches the Rfam family "Bacterial small subunit ribosomal RNA", at positions 355 to 776 of the family's 1533-position model. The record is from RNAcentral. Lineage: Bacteria; Pseudomonadati; Pseudomonadota.
UGGGGGAUAUUGGACAAUGGGGGGAACCCUGAUCCAGCCAUGCCGCGUGUGUGAAGAAGGCCUUAUGGUUGUAAAGCACUUUAAGCGAGGAGGAGGGUACUGGUAUUAAUACUACCAGGUACUGGACGUUACUCGCAGAAUAAGCACCGGCUAACUCUGUGCCAGCAGCCGCGGUAAUACAGAGGGUGCAAGCGUUAAUCGGAAUUACUGGGCGUAAAGCGCGCGUAGGUGGUUCGUUAAGUUGAAUGUGAAAGCCCCGGGCUCAACCUGGGAACUGCAUCCAAAACUGGCGAGCUAGAGUAGGGCAGAGGGUGGUGGAAUUUCCUGUGUAGCGGUGAAAUGCGUAGAUAUAGGAAGGAACACCAGUGGCGAAGGCGACCACCUGGGCUCAUACUGACACUGAGGUGCGAAAGCGUGGGGAGCAAACAGG